This 460-nucleotide ribosomal RNA is filed under the name uncultured bacterium. Its description in RNAcentral is "partial 16S ribosomal RNA". It matches the Rfam family "Bacterial small subunit ribosomal RNA", at positions 338 to 795 of the family's 1533-position model. The record is from RNAcentral.
CCUACGGGCGGCAGCAGUGAGGAAUAUUGGUCAAUGGACGAGAGUCUGAACCAGCCAAGUAGCGUGAAGGAUGACUGCCCUAUGGGUUGUAAACUUCUUUUAUAAGGGAAUAAAACGAGGCACGUGUGCCUUUUUGCAUGUACUUAAUGAAUAAGGAUCGGCUAACUCCGUGCCAGCAGCCGCGGUAAUACGGAGGAUCCGAGCGUUAUCCGGAUUUAUUGGGGUUAAAGGGAGCGUAGAUGGGUUGUUAAGUCAGUGGUGAAAGUUUGCGGCUCAACCGUAGAACUGCAUUUGAUACUGGCAGUCUUGAGUACAGGUGAGGUAGGCGGAAUUCGUGGUGUAGCGGUGAAAUGCUUAGAUAUCACGAAGAACUCCGAUUGCGAAGGCAGCUUACUAAACUGCCACUGACAUUGAUGCGCGAAAGUGUGGGUAUCAAACAGGAUUAGAUACCCCAGUAGUC